GACGAACGCUGGCGGCGUGCUUAACACAUGCAAGUCGAGCGAUGAAGCUUCCUUCGGGAAGUGGAUUAGCGGCGGACGGGUGAGUAACACGUGGGUAACCUGCCUCAAAGUGGGGGAUAGCCUUCCGAAAGGAAGAUUAAUACCGCAUAAUAUGAGAGAAUCGCAUGAUUUUCUUAUCAAAGAUUUAUUGCUUUGAGAUGGACCCGCGGCGCAUUAGCUAGUUGGUAAGGUAAUGGCUUACCAAGGCAACGAUGCGUAGCCGACCUGAGAGGGUGAUCGGCCACAUUGGAACUGAGACACGGUCCAGACUCCUACGGGAGGCAGCAGUGGGGAAUAUUGCGCAAUGGGGGAAACCCUGACGCAGCAACGCCGCGUGGGUGAUGAAGGUCUUCGGAUUGUAAAGCCCUGUUUUCUGGGACGAUAAUGACGGUACCAGAGGAGGAAGCCACGGCUAACUACGUGCCAGCAGCGCGGUCACGACAUG
RNAcentral lists this ribosomal RNA (484 nucleotides) under bacterium enrichment culture clone TC60b_1118. RNAcentral describes it as "bacterial SSU rRNA". It matches the Rfam family "Bacterial small subunit ribosomal RNA", at positions 28 to 529 of the family's 1533-position model. The record is from RNAcentral.